GUCUACGGAUGCUUAUGCAGUUGCCAAAUAUGGUAACAAGUGGGUACGCACUCGUACCAUAUCUGAUAGUUUAGAACCUAGGUGGAAUGAGCAGUACACUUGGAGAGUUUAUGAUCCAUCCACUGUGUUGACUAUCGGAGUAUUUGAUGGCUGCUCGGAAGUAGCAUUUGAAUCAGAUGAGUGCAUGAGGCCAGAUUUUCGGAUUGGUAAGGUGCGUGUCCGUAUUUCUACAUUGACAACAGGUAAAGUGUACAGGAAUACUUUCCCAUUACUUUUGUUAUCACAAACUGGUUUGAAGAAAAUGGGGGAAAUUGAAUUAGCAGUGAGAUUUAUACGUGCUACACCAACGCUUGAUUUCUUACAUGUCUAUUCGCAACCAUUGCUGCCCAUGAUGCAUCAUGUAAAGCCCCUUGGCAUGGUUCAACAGGAUAGUUU
RNAcentral lists this unclassified non-coding RNA (435 nucleotides) under Hevea brasiliensis (rubber tree). Lineage: Eukaryota; Viridiplantae; Streptophyta; Magnoliopsida; Malpighiales; Euphorbiaceae. The record is from RNAcentral.